RNAcentral lists this transfer RNA (74 nucleotides) under Mariniblastus sp. Its description in RNAcentral is "tRNA-Leu". It matches the Rfam family "tRNA". From Rfam's summary of the family: Transfer RNA (tRNA) molecules are approximately 80 nucleotides in length. Their secondary structure includes four short double-helical elements and three loops (D, anti-codon, and T loops). The record is from RNAcentral. Lineage: Bacteria; Pseudomonadati; Planctomycetota; Planctomycetia; Pirellulales; Pirellulaceae.
GCCUAGAUACGCCAACUGGAAGAGCGACUCGCCUUAAACCCGAGUGUUUGCAGGUUCGAAUCCUGUUCUGGGUA